Molecule: small nuclear RNA, 164 nt
Organism: Neomonachus schauinslandi (Hawaiian monk seal)
Lineage: Eukaryota; Metazoa; Chordata; Mammalia; Carnivora; Phocidae
Product: U1 spliceosomal RNA
Exons: 1
Source: RefSeq, a predicted model, not a curated record
GUACUUACCUGGCAGGGGAGGUACCAUGAUCACGAAGGUCAUUGUCCCAGGGCAAGGCUUAUCUAUUGCACUCCGGUUGUGCCGACCCCUGUGAUUUCCCCAGAUGUGGGAAACUCCACUGCAUAAUUUGUGGUAGUGGGGGACUGCAGUCACGCUCUCCCCGG